This 253-nucleotide ribosomal RNA is filed under the name uncultured bacterium. RNAcentral's name for it is "partial 16S ribosomal RNA". It matches the Rfam family "Bacterial small subunit ribosomal RNA", at positions 524 to 776 of the family's 1533-position model. The record is from RNAcentral.
AACGUAGGAGACAACCGUUAUCCGGAGUUACUGGGCGUAAAGGGCGUGUAGGUGGUAGUGUAAGUCUGGCGUGAAAUUUUUCGGCUUAACCGGGAAAGGUCGUCGGAUACUGCACAACUAGAGGACGGUAGAGGCGUGUGGAAUUCCGGGUGUAGUGGUGAAAUGCGUAGAGAUCCGGAGGAACACCAGUGGCGAAGGCGACACGCUGGGCCGUACCUGACACUGAUGCGCGACAGCAUGGGGAGCAAACAGG